Long non-coding RNA from Suricata suricatta (meerkat), 2235 nucleotides. RefSeq lists it as uncharacterized. The record is from RefSeq and is a predicted model, not a curated record. NCBI's taxonomy places the organism in Eukaryota, Metazoa, Chordata, Mammalia, Carnivora, Herpestidae. The transcript is spliced from 3 exons.
CUCCCACCGGCUACUGGGUAGGCCGAGGCAGCUCCUGGCCUCUAGCUGCUGGCAGCCUAUGGCCCUGUAGCAAGUCACUGGGCAAUGCCACCCCCCUAGGAAAAGCUGCACAAUGGAUGAAGCUGUUAUUGAUCAUCAAGAGGCCAGGGCAUGGGCUUGGCUGGGUGAGUGAACAGUCAGCCCUGGACCACCAGGGUCCCGCAAUCUCCAACCCAGGCCUCCUGCCUGCCUCCUGGACACCCCUAAUACCCCAGAACCAGAACAGUCACAACCAGGCUAGUAGGUGGAGGGGCACUGUCCUCAAACCCACCUGUCUGGGAUUGUCCCUGAGGCAGGAGGCAGCAGGGAGGUGCCCCCAGCAAGCCUUUAAGAAACUGGAAGAGCAAGUGGAGUGGCCGCUUGCCCUGUGUGAAGGGCUCUGCAGGGUGAUAAGUGACUGAAGGGCUUGCUUGCUCUGUGACCCCCACUCUAUGUGCGGGGGAGGGUAGUGGCUGCCAGGCCACAGGGGGGCGAGUAGGGGAAUGCUUCUCCAGUGAUGCUCCCUCCCCUCUCCUACUGUCUUUCCCCCACCACCUGUAGUCUCUGUAGUCUCUAACACAGAGAUCAUCUCCAUCUGUCACCUACCCCCAACCCAGGUUUACCCAGUUUGGUACAUGUACAUACACACUGUUCUAGAAUGUUCCUUAGCUUUCAGAGCCUUCCUUUUGCAGGGUUGUCUUCCUAAGAACAUCUGUCAAGGGCUCAAAUGGUCUUAAGUACCAUUUGCUGGACACCAGAGUGUCCCAGGACUGAGGCUCGCUCUUCCCGACUUGUCCAAUAAGCCUCCGAGGUCGCGUGUGUGCAUUCCAGAUCAGCCAAAGAUCAGGGCCUUGCUCUGCCACCCUGCAGGGUGUGCUCAGUGAGCCAGACCCCAAGACCUCCACGUUUCCAGGGCCCCUCUCACAUCAACACAGUCUCCUUGAAUUCAGAGGUAACUAACCUCUGCAAAGGCCCGGCCUGGUGGGACCUCGUACGUGCUGAAGGCCCCUGACCAGCAAGGCCAAAAGGCCAUGGCUGUCCCAUCCCCCUUUCCCCCACCCGCUGUCGGAGCCCGCACCAGCACCAGCCUAUCUCCAGCACGUUUCCGCCUCCGCACACGAGAGAUCGGUCCCUAGAGGCUCCUUCCGGGAUCCGCCGGCCGCCCCCUCUCCCUCCCCCUCCGUUUCCACCCACCCCUCCCAGAGAACUCCAGGCCUAUCUAGCCAACAUCCGGGGUACCCAAGACCCUUGGGACCCACCAUCCAACCCAAGCUGCUCGCCGACCGCGCCCAUCCCUACUCCACUCGGAAGAAAACAAGAGCGGUUCAAAGGCGAAGUCCUUCGAAGAGGUGUGUGCAAGUCUGGAGGCCCAGACCUGGGCGAGGUCCAGCGUCGCUGGUGCAGAGGAGGCGGCGGGUAGCCUUUCUGGAAGCCAAAGAAGCCUCUACGUGGGGAAAGCUGAGGCCAUGGGGAGACACCCAGAGAGGAGAGCUGAUCCCUUUGGGGUUCUGGAAGUGCAAAGCGUGUGCAGGCUGGGCUGCUGGCCAUGUGGUGACAGAGAAGCAGGAAGAUGGAGCUGCUGCAACUCCCCCUCCGGAAUGUCUGUCUGACCAGGACCUGGAGCCAUCCUAGAAUGAGCAGAGGGCACAUGGGAGAGGUGCCUAUGGUGGCCCUACCAGGUGGCCCCAGGGAUGAGGAGAUGGCAGGAACAGGGACGUCCAGAAGAGAGCCGGCCCAAGGAAACCAGGUGGAAGGGGGUAGCCAGGUGACUGGCCCAGAGAGCCUUGAGCUUGGGGCUCUAAAGGUCAGAGCAAGACCAGAUGGUGAGGCCCCUGGGAGAACCCCAAAGUGGGCGGCACGGGCAGCCUCAGGCUGAAAUCUGUCCAGCCAUCCCAGGAGAGAAGGUCGCUGGAAAUGUGAAUCUGGAGCAGGUUGAGUCAGGGGGUCUUCCCUGGGGUCAGCCUGCAGGGAAAAGGAGGAUGUGGAAAUGUUAGAAAGAGGAGGGGCACUCCACUAGAGACCCAGGAGGAGCGGUCAGGUCAGAGAGGAGGGACCCAGUGUGGCUGGUGUCACUGAAGCUGAAGGAAGAAAGAGUUUCAAGAAAGAAAGAAAGCUGGUCUGUACUAUGCAGCCCAUUCAGAAAGCGGAUCCAUCGAUCCGAGUGGCCCAAGAGACCCGAAGCUUCUAGCCCCGCCAUCCCCUCCCUGCGCGCCCCCC